Molecule: ribosomal RNA, 450 nt
Filed under: uncultured bacterium
Lineage: Bacteria
Description: bacterial SSU rRNA
Rfam family: Bacterial small subunit ribosomal RNA
Source: RNAcentral
GUGGGGAAUAUUGCGCAAUGGGCGAAAGCCUGACGCAGCCAUGCCGCGUGUGUGAAGAAGGCCUUCGGGUUGUAAAGCACUUUCAAUUGGGAAGAAAGGUUGCGUGUUAAUAGCACGUAGCUGUGACGUUACCUUUAGAAGAAGCACCGGCUAACUCCGUGCCAGCAGCCGCGGUAAUACGGAGGGUGCGAGCGUUAAUCGGAAUUACUGGGCGUAAAGCGCGCGUAGGCGGUUUGUUAAGUCGGAUGUGAAAUCCCCGGGCUCAACCUGGGAAUGGCAUUCGAUACUGGCCGACUAGAGUACGAGAGAGGGAGGUAGAAUUCCACGUGUAGCGGUGAAAUGCGUAGAUAUGUGGAGGAAUACCGGUGGCGAAGGCGGCCUCCUGGCUCGAUACUGACGCUGAGGUGCGAAAGCGUGGGUAGCAAACAGGAUUAGAAACCCCAGUAGUCC